UGGCUCAGGACGAACGCUGGCGGCGUGCUUAACACAUGCAAGUCGAACGAUGAACCACUUCGGUGGGGAUUAGUGGCGAACGGGUGAGUAACACGUGGGCAAUCUGCCCUGCACUCUGGGACAAGCCCUGGAAACGGGGUCUAAUACCGGAUACUGAGCCACUUGGGCAUCCAAGUGGUUCGAAAGCUCCGGCGGUGCAGGAUGAGCCCGCGGCCUAUCAGCUUGUUGGUGAGGUAAUGGCUCACCAAGGCGACGACGGGUAGCCGGCCUGAGAGGGCGACCGGCCACACUGGGACUGAGACACGGCCCAGACUCCUACGGGAGGCAGCAGUGGGGAAUAUUGCACAAUGGGCGAAAGCCUGAUGCAGCGACGCCGCGUGAGGGAUGACGGCCUUCGGGUUGUAAACCUCUUUCAGCAG
Molecule: ribosomal RNA, 419 nt
Filed under: Streptomyces viridochromogenes
Lineage: Bacteria; Bacillati; Actinomycetota; Actinomycetes; Kitasatosporales; Streptomycetaceae
Description: bacterial SSU rRNA
Rfam family: Bacterial small subunit ribosomal RNA
Source: RNAcentral